Molecule: RNA transcript, 5038 nt
Organism: Cynoglossus semilaevis (tongue sole)
Lineage: Eukaryota; Metazoa; Chordata; Actinopteri; Pleuronectiformes; Cynoglossidae
Gene: mcph1
Gene name: microcephalin 1
Exons: 12
Source: RefSeq, a predicted model, not a curated record
CUAAUGUUUACCAUAUAUCCCAGAAUGCCUCGCUUUACAAAAUGAACGCGCCGAUAAUGGCUACAGUUCGUAGACGUGCUCGCAACCCACUAUAUGCAGUUUAAGUUCUACACGGUUCGAAAAGUGAUUCUUGGGAUCACACAAUCAAGGAAUGGCUAUGCACUGCAAAAGUUCAGUUCUUCAAGAUGUUGUUGCCUACGUUGAUGUGUGGUCCUCAGAGAAAACUGCAAAUUAUUCAAAACCCUUUGUUCAACAGCUGCAGGAAAUGGGAGCUCAGGUAACAAAAACAUUUAAUAAAGAAGUCACACAUGUUGUCUACAGUAAUGGUCACCCUGCCACAUGGCGAAAAGCUAAGAAAAGUGGUGUGAGGCUUGUCUCAGUUCUCUGGGUAGGAAGUUGUUACCAAGAUGGUGUUCAGAAAGACGAGGACCUGUUUCCAGCCAUAAGCAAUGAAAACAAUCCUGUACUUAAAAACAAGAAACAUCGCUGCAUGCAGCCAAAAGACUCUCCAGAGAGUACACCUGAGAAUGACAAGCGCAUAAAAAGGAAAUUAGACAGGAUGAUGAGAGACCUUCCUCCUAGACAACCUCUGGUAACAGAUAUAUCUCCCAUCAUUAUCGAUGAAGAGAAUGGAAUAGUCUACAGUCCUUUGUUGAGAAGAUCAGAUUACAUGGCACAACGACUAAAAGCCAUGAAAGAAAAGAGGGAAGACCUUUCACCCACUGCUUCUCAAAUGAUUGACACAUCUUCACCCAUUGGCCAAAAGCCUUCACCUGGAAGCUCCCCAACAGACCUAAAAUUUAAGUUUGAUAGUUUAAGUGCUCCAGCUGCUGAAUCAGACUGUUCACCAGAUAAGGAAGAAAAAAGAAUGGAAUUAGACUUCCCUGACUACAAACGUUUCCAAAAACACUGCAGGAAAAGCUCUGACAAGCCGUGGCUGUCACCAUGUCACAGCGUUCCAAAAAUAAUAUCGAGUCCUUUGAAAUUUCCUGUCUUUGAGGACGAUGAAGAAGGGAAAAAACCACAAAAGUCAAGAUGGACAUCAGUCAAAAAAAAGCUUGGAGAGAAUUCCAGUUCUGUGGCUCCAUUAGAGAGUCCUCUUCAGGAUACAAGACCUGAAAUCCGCAGUGGCCACAAAUGGAUAACAAGUCCUUUAAAAUGUCCCAACUUUGACCACAGUGAAGAGAAGACGCAACCAGUAAAAUCACGAAGGAAAUCAGUCAGAAAGAAGUCAGAAACUAACAAGACUGUCGGUUUGCUAGAAAGUCCUCUCCAGGUUGAAGCUUCGGAGGGAACAAAUGUCACAAAAAUUAUAUCAAGUGCUGUUGAAAGCCUUGAUGUUGAGGAUGAUGAAGAAAGGAAAAGACAACUAAUAUCAAGAAGGACAUCAGUCAGAAAAAAGCCAAAGGAGAAGUUUUCCUCCACGGGUUCAUUAGAGAGUUCCCUCCCGGAAGUUGGCAGUACCUCUGGAAGGAUAACUUCUUUAAGUUCUUUAAAAUGUUCUGUCUUUGACAAAAGUGAAGAGAGACAACAACCAGUAAAGUCACGAAGGAAAUCAGUCAGACAAAAGUCAGAGACCAGUAAGACGGUGGCUUUGUUAGAAAGUCCUCCUCAGGUCGAAGAUUUCAGAGGCCUUAUCUCUGAGGAGCACGGAGAGGGAGACGAUCAGAAGUCAAGCAGGGUAUCAUUUAGUGAAAAAUUAGAAAUUUGUAAUUCUGUAGUUUCUUUAAAAAGACCUUGUCAGGACACAGGUCCUAUGCAUAGCACUGUCACAAAAACAGUACCAAGCCGCUUAAAGGACCUUGAGGGAAAAGGAGAGAACAGUGGACAAAAGUCAAGGAGGCCGCCCGUUGACACAUCUAAAAAGGGAAAACUUAAAACUGACGAAACCUUUUCAGCGGCUAAGACAAACUCUUGUCCUGAUUAUGUGAAUUCUCAAUCAUUUUCAGCAUCUGUAGUUACAUCCUCUAGAGAGACUGUUAUUCCGUUAGACAAAGCGGAACAGAAAAUAUCCAAGCGUGCCCGACCUUCACUUUCUGCCUUGGCCCGAUCGUUAACAAUACCUGAUGGAUCUCCUAACGUCCCAUCUUCUGCUGAUGCCAACGACGAUGUGUUUGAGGAUUACUUUUCCCCUUGCAACAAACACAAGAAAAUGAAAAACCCUCUCUUGCCCAACCUGCCCACAAAGAGUGACAUUCAAAUCCCUUUUCAAUUUGAACCCAUAUCAAAAAAGAGGAAAGACAGGAGAAGUGAAGGCCCUGGAUUUGAAAGCAGUGGUAAAAAGAGGAGAAAACUGGAGGAAGGUCAGGGAUUCAGAAAUCAACGUCUGCACUCAGAUUCAAGCAGUCAUCCACAGCAGGAUGUCGAGGAACCCCCACCUGUACUGCACAGCAAAACACUAUUGGCUAAAAAGCAAAGGCAGUGCACUUUGCCAUUUACCAGAACCAACACAAAAACAGAAAGUGAUGACAUUGAACAAAGAACACCUCCUGCACAACAGGCGUCCACCGGAGGAGAGAGGGUACCAACACUGGUGAAAGAAUCUGAAGUGUGUUCUCCAAGUGGAGGAAAUGAACUUGCAGAUGCAGCUGGUGUAACAGAGAGUCCCUCUGAAGGUGAAGAAGCUCAAACAAAACUCAUCGGUGUGAAUGCACUGGAAAUGGGCAACAAGACAAAGGUAUUUCCUCCAUAAGCUCAUAAACUUCCAUAGGUGUGGGCGUUUGACGUAUCCAGCCCAAGAGGAUUCUGUCUGAUCUUGAGGGUUUCCUUUGUUUUGCCUGUCUGAUGGUGGCGUACAACAUCCUCACUUCUGAAAUGCACCUGGGCUUUGUUUUCGUUAUGCUGCUUACCUCAACAAGCUGCAAAAAGUGAAGCAUGACAUCACGUCCCCCCUGCCAUCUGUUAUGGUCUGCCUUCAUGGCAAAGAUGUUACAUGUACAUUUUCCUUGGAUGGUGGUGUUAAAGAAAAGAUUAAUGUAUAAAUAUGUUUGUUUUUUUUCUUCACACAAUCUUCAGUUUUGUGUUUGUGAUGACUGGUGGGAAAAAUCACACCUGCGCUGCUCUCGACUGAGGUGCAGAAGGCAAAUGAUAAAUUCCAUGUUCCUCCGCUCCAGUGCAGAAGUGCCGAUUUUCUGCUUCUCUGUUGCUGUGGAGAGAGUUCCAUUAGACCUGGUGAAAUAGUUGUUCAUGGUUCUUAUGUGCUUCUAAAAAGAGUACAGAACAUCUCACUAUUGUGUAUCACUAUUGUAGUCUUCGCUGCUUGAUUCCUCAUGGAACUAAUUUCACUUCAUUGUCCUCCUGGUAUUAUCUAAUAAUGUUUCAGUUAUUUAGCAAUCAUUUCUGACGUGCAGUCUCACCUUUUUUUUUAUCUCACUCUCUUUUUUUAUGGAAAAACCCAUCUGGUGCUUUUUACGUGUGGCUGGUAAUUGUGAUUAGCUCUGGCAGCACUAGUUGCCCUCCUUUAGCAAAAAAACGUAUUUAUCUCCCUUUGAUUUUCUGAAAAAACAUCAUUUCACUGCAACAUUACGCAUCGAGUCCCUGCAGCAGUUCACACUGGCUCUUUGUGGAAAAACUCAUUCUUCACUGCCUCUCUCCUUGUUUCUCUGCCAGAAUAUAAGAUCAGCCCUGCUGGAGAUUCCUCUGGAGAUCCCUCCCAUUUGGUGUUUUUUUUUCCUGUGUGUGCCUUAAGGCAGUGGUCCUGUGGUGUUGACAAAAAUGCUGUUCGUCAACUUAAAAAAAUAAAUAAGUGAAAAAUGUCAACUGCCUAACAGGAGCAAGACAAGUGUCAGGCCUUUACACUAGGCUGAUGACAGGCAGCGGAGAGAUGAAUCAAUGACAAACCGACAAAUAUUUUGUUUUUUAUCAGGUAUUUUUAUAGAUAAAUUCAGCUGCUUCUGGCCAAUUUCGAUGUGUUCUGCACGCUGCUUUUCUUGUACCAUUUGAAAAUGCAUCAGCUGUGCUUUCUGUGGUACAGUUAUUGUGUUUUUCAACAUCAGUUGGUUAUUUAAGAAGACAGAUGAAUUCACUCUCUGUUUCUCUCUGCAGACUGCAGAAUACAUGUAAACAAAUUAUAAUCCUACUCAGCUCCUGAAAGGGUCUGAAAAGAAAUUACUGGUUGUUUUUGUAUUAUAGUGCUUAGUUUUACACCCCUUCACUUUUUCAUUAGCAGCAGAUCACGGAUAUGCACAGGGGGCGUGGGGGCCGGGGGGUGCAGAAGAAGAAGCUGUUGACUAGAAACGGGGAGAAAAUAUGUCUGGUUUCCCAAACCCAACUAAUUCUAGGCUUUGGGAAACGUUAGUGACACAUAAGUCGAUACAGAUGGAUGUUACCUGACUGACCUGUGGAAAAUGUGUUCACACUUCAACACCCUUCACAUCCAGAUGAGAGGGUUUAUCCCAAAGCAAUGUGUUUACCUUUGUUUUAGGACAAACUGAAAAAAUAUGAACGUAGUGUUAAAGUAAAUUCUGCCUUGUUUCUCUUGGUUAUCCUUGACUAUUUUCUUCUGUUGCGCCACCUUAACGUAAUGACGUAUGGUCCAGAGAAAUGAAAUAUCACAAAAUAUCCAUUUGUUGUAUUAUAAAUGGCUUUUAGCUGAGUUUUAUGUAUACUGACAAAUGUAAGCUUUUACUGAAAAGAGAAAACUUCACUACUCGAAGAAUUUAGAUCCACCUUUUACUUCUUCAAAAGACUGGUCCCUUCAGGUGUUGCCUGGGAAACAUCAUUUUAAUAGAAGUCAACAGAUAUAGAAGGGAGGCAAACGAAUCAACUGUUUACAGAAAACAGGAAGAUAAACUUUUGUGGCUUUUGUUCUGUGCUGCAGAGUUUAAAGAGGUCAAGAGAAAUGAUUUGUUUGUUUGUUUCAUCAUUUCUUGUGUCUCUCAUUAUUUCAGAUUGGAAGAACACUGGUCACGACGAGCAUGCCUGCUGAGAAACAGGACACAGUGUUUCAGGUGGUCAAAGCUCUGGGUGGUUUUACAGUCGUUGACAGAGUUUGUGAAAGCACAACACACGUGGUGUCUGGGGGUCACCGACGGACCAU